Molecule: small RNA, 88 nt
Filed under: Salmonella enterica subsp. enterica serovar Kokomlemle
Lineage: Bacteria; Pseudomonadati; Pseudomonadota; Gammaproteobacteria; Enterobacterales; Enterobacteriaceae
Description: partial RtT sRNA
Rfam family: RtT RNA
About the family: This family represents a bacterial cis-regulatory element known as RtT RNA. The exact function of RtT is unknown although it is thought that it may be involved in changing the cellular response in relation to amino acid starvation.
Source: RNAcentral
GAAACGAGAAUAAAACGUGAAGGAUAACGUUGCGUCAGCAACGGCCCGUAGGGCGAGGCAAAGCCGAGUCAUCCUGCACGACCCACCA